CCUACGGGAGGCAGCAGUGGGGAAUAUUGGACAAUGGGCGAAAGCCUGAUCCAGCAAUGCCGCGUGAGUGAUGAAGGCCUUCGGGUCGUAAAGCUCUUUUACCAGGGAUGAUAAUGACAGUACCUGGAGAAUAAGCUCCGGCUAACUCCGUGCCAGCAGCCGCGGUAAUACGGAGGGAGCUAGCGUUGUUCGGAAUUACUGGGCGUAAAGAGUACGUAGGCGGUUAUUCAAGUCAGAGGUGAAAGCCCGGGGCUCAACCCCGGAACUGCCUUUGAAACUAGAUAACUAGAGUCUUGGAGAGGUUAGUGGAAUUCCGAGUGUAGAGGUGAAAUUCGUAGAUAUUCGGAAGAACACCAGUGGCGAAGGCGACUAACUGGACAAGUACUGACGCUGAGGUACGAAAGCGUGGGGAGCAAACAGGAUUAGAUACCCUGGUAGUCCACGCCGUAAACGAUGAUAACUAGUUGUUCGGUCACUUGGUGACUGAGUGACGCAGCUAACGCAUUAAGUUAUCCGCCUGGGGAGUACGGUCGCAAGNUUAAACUUAAAGGAAUUGACGGCUGAGANGCGAGCGACACGAGGAGUAG
RNAcentral lists this ribosomal RNA (587 nucleotides) under uncultured bacterium. Its description in RNAcentral is "bacterial SSU rRNA". It matches the Rfam family "Bacterial small subunit ribosomal RNA", at positions 338 to 944 of the family's 1533-position model. The record is from RNAcentral.